CGGGGCGUAGCGCAGCCUGGUAGCGCGUCUGCUUUGGGAGCAGUAGGUCGCACGUUCGAAUCGUGUCGCCCCGACCA
This 77-nucleotide transfer RNA is filed under the name Aquincola tertiaricarbonis. Its description in RNAcentral is "tRNA-Pro". It matches the Rfam family "tRNA". Rfam says of the family: Transfer RNA (tRNA) molecules are approximately 80 nucleotides in length. Their secondary structure includes four short double-helical elements and three loops (D, anti-codon, and T loops). The record is from RNAcentral. Lineage: Bacteria; Pseudomonadati; Pseudomonadota; Betaproteobacteria; Burkholderiales; Sphaerotilaceae. RNAcentral also lists the same sequence under 5 other names.